RNAcentral lists this ribosomal RNA (2935 nucleotides) under Enterobacter hormaechei. RNAcentral's name for it is "23S ribosomal RNA". It matches the Rfam family "Bacterial large subunit ribosomal RNA". The record is from RNAcentral. Lineage: Bacteria; Pseudomonadati; Pseudomonadota; Gammaproteobacteria; Enterobacterales; Enterobacteriaceae.
GGGUUGUGAGGUUAAGCGACUAAGCGUACACGGUGGAUGCCCUGGCAGUCAGAGGCGAUGAAGGACGUGCUAAUCUGCGAAAAGCGCCGGCGAGGUGAUAUGAACCUUUGACCCGGCGAUGUCCGAAUGGGGAAACCCAGUGCAAUCCGUUGCACUAUCGUUAACUGAAUACAUAGGUUAACGAGGCGAACCGGGGGAACUGAAACAUCUAAGUACCCCGAGGAAAAGAAAUCAACCGAGAUUCCCCCAGUAGCGGCGAGCGAACGGGGAGCAGCCCGGAGUCUGAAUCAGCUUGUGUGUUAGUGGAACGGUCUGGAAAGUCCGACGGUACAGGGUGAUAGUCCCGUACACGAAAAUGCACAUGCUGUGAACUCGAAGAGUAGGGCGGGACACGUGGUAUCCUGUCUGAAUAUGGGGGGACCAUCCUCCAAGGCUAAAUACUCCUGACUGACCGAUAGUGAACCAGUACCGUGAGGGAAAGGCGAAAAGAACCCCGGCGAGGGGAGUGAAAAAGAACCUGAAACCGUGUACGUACAAGCAGUGGGAGCCUCUUUAUGGGGUGACUGCGUACCUUUUGUAUAAUGGGUCAGCGACUUAUAUUCUGUAGCAAGGUUAACCGUAUAGGGGAGCCGAAGGGAAACCGAGUCUUAACUGGGCGUUAAGUUGCAGGGUAUAGACCCGAAACCCGGUGAUCUAGCCAUGGGCAGGUUGAAGGUUGGGUAACACUAACUGGAGGACCGAACCGACUAAUGUUGAAAAAUUAGCGGAUGACCUGUGGCUGGGGGUGAAAGGCCAAUCAAACCGGGAGAUAGCUGGUUCUCCCCGAAAGCUAUUUAGGUAGCGCCUCGUGAACUCAUCUUCGGGGGUAGAGCACUGUUUCGGCUAGGGGGCCAUCCCGGCUUACCAACCCGAUGCAAACUACGAAUACCGAAGAAUGUUAUCACGGGAGACACACGGCGGGUGCUAACGUCCGUCGUGAAGAGGGAAACAACCCAGACCGCCAGCUAAGGUCCCAAAGUCAUGGUUAAGUGGGAAACGAUGUGGGAAGGCACAGACAGCCGAGGAUGUUGGCUUAGAAGCAGCCAUCAUUUAAAAGAAAGCGUAAUAGCUCACUGGUCGAGUCGGCCUGCGCGGAAGAUGUAACGGGGCUAAACCAUGCACCGAAGCUGCGGCAGCGACACUAUGUGUUGUUGGGUAGGGGAGCGUUCUGUAAGCCGUUGAAGGUGUGCUGUGAGGCAUGCUGGAGGUAUCAGAAGUGCGAAUGCUGACAUAAGUAACGAUAAAGCGGGUGAAAAGCCCGCUCGCCGGAAGACCAAGGGUUCCUGUCCAACGUUAAUCGGGGCAGGGUGAGUCGACCCCUAAGGCGAGGCCGAAAGGCGUAGUCGAUGGGAAACAGGUUAAUAUUCCUGUACUUGGUGUUACUGCGAAGGGGGGACGGAGAAGGCUAUGUCAGCCGGGCGACGGUUGUCCCGGUUUAAGCAUGUAGGCGGAGGUUCCAGGUAAAUCCGGUACCUUAUUAACGCUGAGGUGUGAUGACGAGGCACUACGGUGCUGAAGUGAUAAAUGCCCUGCUUCCAGGAAAAGCCUCUAAGCAUCAGGUAACACGAAAUCGUACCCCAAACCGACACAGGUGGUCAGGUAGAGAAUACCAAGGCGCUUGAGAGAACUCGGGUGAAGGAACUAGGCAAAAUGGUGCCGUAACUUCGGGAGAAGGCACGCUGAUGUGUAGGUGAAGCCCCUGCGGGCGGAGCUGAAAUCAGUCGAAGAUACCAGCUGGCUGCAACUGUUUAUUAAAAACACAGCACUGUGCAAACACGAAAGUGGACGUAUACGGUGUGACGCCUGCCCGGUGCCGGAAGGUUAAUUGAUGGGGUUAGCGGCAACGCGAAGCUCUUGAUCGAAGCCCCGGUAAACGGCGGCCGUAACUAUAACGGUCCUAAGGUAGCGAAAUUCCUUGUCGGGUAAGUUCCGACCUGCACGAAUGGCGUAAUGAUGGCCAGGCUGUCUCCACCCGAGACUCAGUGAAAUUGAACUCGCUGUGAAGAUGCAGUGUACCCGCGGCAAGACGGAAAGACCCCGUGAACCUUUACUAUAGCUUGACACUGAACACUGGUCCUUGAUGUGUAGGAUAGGUGGGAGGCUUUGAAGCGUGGACGCCAGUCUGCGUGGAGCCAACCUUGAAAUACCACCCUUUAAUGGCUGGUGUUCUAACGUAGACCCGUAAUCCGGGUUGCGGACAGUGUCUGGUGGGUAGUUUGACUGGGGCGGUCUCCUCCCAAAGAGUAACGGAGGAGCACGAAGGUUGGCUAAUCCCGGGUCGGACAUCAGGAGGUUAGUGCAAUGGCAUAAGCCAGCUUGACUGCGAGCGUGACGGCGCGAGCAGGUGCGAAAGCAGGUCAUAGUGAUCCGGUGGUUCUGAAUGGAAGGGCCAUCGCUCAACGGAUAAAAGGUACUCCGGGGAUAACAGGCUGAUACCGCCCAAGAGUUCAUAUCGACGGCGGUGUUUGGCACCUCGAUGUCGGCUCAUCACAUCCUGGGGCUGAAGUAGGUCCCAAGGGUAUGGCUGUUCGCCAUUUAAAGUGGUACGCGAGCUGGGUUUAGAACGUCGUGAGACAGUUCGGUCCCUAUCUGCCGUGGGCGCUGGAGAAUUGAGGGGGGCUGCUCCUAGUACGAGAGGACCGGAGUGGACGCAUCACUGGUGUUCGGGUUGUCAUGCCAAUGGCAUUGCCCGGUAGCUAAAUGCGGAAGAGAUAAGUGCUGAAAGCAUCUAAGCACGAAACUUGCCCCGAGAUGAGUUCUCCCUGAGACUUUAAGUCUCCUGAAGGAACGUUGAAGACGACGACGUUGAUAGGUCGGGUGUGUAAGCGCAGCGAUGCGUUGAGCUAACCGAUACUAAUGAACCGUGAGGCUUAACCUUACAACGCCGAAGGUGUUU